Molecule: non-coding RNA, 70 nt
Organism: Podarcis lilfordi (Lilford's wall lizard)
Lineage: Eukaryota; Metazoa; Chordata; Lepidosauria; Squamata; Lacertidae
Source: the annotation of a GenBank genome assembly
GUAUGUAGCUCACUGGUAAAGUACAUGCUUUACAUGCAGAGCAUCCCUGGUUCAAUCCCUGGCAUCUCCA